Pelobates cultripes (western spadefoot toad) is the source of this 463-nucleotide non-coding RNA. Lineage: Eukaryota; Metazoa; Chordata; Amphibia; Anura; Pelobatidae. The record is from the annotation of a GenBank genome assembly.
GAUGAUGUGUGUGUGUGUGCGUGUGUGUCUGCUGAAUGAUGUGUGUGUGAGUGCUGGAUGAUGUGUGUGUGAGUGCUGGAUGAUGUGUGUGUGUGUGAGUGCUGGAUGAUGUGUGUGUGAGUGAGUGCUGGAUGAUGUGUGUGUGAGUGAGUGAUGGAUGAUGUGUGUUUGAGUGAGUGAUGGAUGAUGGGUGUGUGAGUGCUGGAUGAUGUGUGUGUGUGCUGGAUGAUGGGUGUGUGAGUGCUGAAUGAUGUGUGUGUGAGUGCUGAAUGAUGUGUGUGCUGGAUGAUGGGUGUGUGAGUGCUGGAUGAUGUGUGUGUGUGCUGGAUGAUGGGUGUGUGAGUGAGUGCUGGAUGAUGUGUGUGUGAGUGCUGGAUGAUGGGUGUGUGAGUGCUGGAUGAUGUGUGUGUGAGUGCUGGAUGAUGGGUGUGUGUGAGUGCUGGAUGAUGGGUGUGUGAGUGCU